RNAcentral lists this ribosomal RNA (425 nucleotides) under uncultured bacterium. RNAcentral describes it as "bacterial SSU rRNA". It matches the Rfam family "Bacterial small subunit ribosomal RNA", at positions 355 to 796 of the family's 1533-position model. The record is from RNAcentral.
UGGGGAAUCUUGCGCAAUGGGCGAAAGCCUGACGCAGCAACGCCGCGUGCGGGAAGAAGGCUCUCGGGUUGUAAACCGCUUUCAGAAGGAACGAAACUGACGGUACUUUCAGAAGAAGGUGCGGCCAACUACGUGCCAGCAGCCGCGGUGACACGUAGGCACCAAGCGUUGUCCGGAUUUAUUGGGCGUAAAGAGCUCGUAGGCGGUUCAGUAAGUCAGGUGUGAAAUCUUUGGGCUUAACCCAAAGCGUGCAUUUGAUACUGCUGUGACUUGAGUUCGGUAGGGGAGUGGGGAAUUCCUAGUGUAGCGGUGAAAUGCGCAGAUAUUAGGAGGAACACCGGUGGCGAAGGCGCCACUCUGGGCCGAAACUGACGCUGAGGAGCGAAAGCGUGGGUAGCAAACAGGAUUAGAUACCCCCGUAGUCC